Diceros bicornis minor is the source of this 382-nucleotide long non-coding RNA. RefSeq lists it as uncharacterized. NCBI's taxonomy places the organism in Eukaryota, Metazoa, Chordata, Mammalia, Perissodactyla, Rhinocerotidae. The transcript has 3 exons. The record is from RefSeq and is a predicted model, not a curated record.
CUUGAGUAAAUCCUAACAGCAGGAUAGCUGGUUUGUAUGGUCCAUUUUUGCCCGCUGCCCAGAAAGCCAAUCACCGAGACGACAAGAUUGCAGAGAGAGAGGGUUUAGUCACAAGGCAACCAAGUGAGGAAAAUGGGAGAACAAGUCUCAAAUCAGCCUCCCCCAAAAUAGGGACUCAGAGUUUGCCAACCCUGGAAGCCUAAAACUGUUUCCUUUGUCUUGUCAUUUCUCCACAAAGUCACUGUUCUUUGUUAACAUGCUAUAUAAACCAAAGUUCUAAGUCACCUCUUUGAGGUGCUCAUUUUUCCCUGGGUAUCUCCCAUAUGUACCUGAGGUAUGCAUGUUAAUAAACUUCUGUUGUUUUUCUCUUGUUAAUCUGUCU